RNAcentral lists this ribosomal RNA (526 nucleotides) under uncultured bacterium. RNAcentral's name for it is "bacterial SSU rRNA". It matches the Rfam family "Bacterial small subunit ribosomal RNA", at positions 202 to 744 of the family's 1533-position model. The record is from RNAcentral.
UAAAGCCUUAGGGCGCUUGAGACGUGGGCUUGCGUCCGAUUAGCUUGUUGGUAGGGUAAAGGCUUACCAAGGCGAUGAUCGGUAGCUGGUUUGAGAGGAUGAUCAGCCACACUGGGACUGAGACACGGCCCAGACUCCUACGGGAGGCAGCAGCAAGGAAUAUUGCGCAAUGGGCGAAAGCCUGACGCAGCGACGUCGCGUGGGGGAUGAAGGCCUUCGGGUUGUAAACCCCUUUUAUCAGGGAAGAAUAAUGACGGUACCUNAGGAAUAAGUCUCGGCUAACUACGUGCCAGCAGCCGCGGUAAUACGUAGGAGGCGAGCGUUAUCCGGAUUUACUGGGCGUAAAGAGCGCGUAGGUGGCUCUUCAAGUCGGAUGUAAAAUCUCCCGGCUCAACUGGGAGGGACCAUUCGAUACUGUCGGGCUAGAGGGCAGCAGAGGGAGAUGGAAUUCCCGGUGUAGUGGUGAAAUGCGUAGAUAUCGGGAGGAACACCAGUGGCGNAAGGCGGUCUCCUGGCUGUACCUGAC